This 488-nucleotide ribosomal RNA is filed under the name uncultured bacterium. RNAcentral describes it as "partial 16S ribosomal RNA". It matches the Rfam family "Bacterial small subunit ribosomal RNA", at positions 28 to 507 of the family's 1533-position model. The record is from RNAcentral.
GACGAACGCUGGCGGCGUGCUUAACACAUGCAAGUCGAACGGAAAGGCCCUGCUUUUGUGGGGUGCUCGAGUGGCGAACGGGUGAGUAACACGUGAGUAACCUGCCCUUGACUUUGGGAUAACUUCAGGAAACAGGGGCUAAUACCGGAUAGGAGCUCCUGCUGCAUGGUGGGGGUUGGAAAGUUUCGGCGGUUGGGGAUGUACUCGCGGCGUAUCAGCUAGUUGGUAGGGUAGUUGCGUACCAAGGCUUUGACGUGUACGCGGCGUGAGCGGGGGGUCGGCGGCCCUGGAGGGGAGACAGGCACCAUGGGCCUACGGUACGGCGCAGUAGCGUAUGGGCCGCAAUGGGGGAGAGUAUGGCGGAGUGGGGCCGAGCCAGAUGUAGCGGUGCUGGGUGCGGGAUGCCGGCUUACGGGUUGUGAACCGCUGUGGCCGGUGACGAGGAGUGAGUGACGGUAAUGGGUAAAGAAGCACCGGCUAACUACGUG